CUUCCCUCCCCUCUCCCCUUCCUUUCCCUUCCUCUCCCAGAUCACAGUGAGCAGGAGGAGCUCUGGGACACAGCAGGGAGAUUCCUUCCUUCCCAGGCAGCCUCUGGCAGGCAGGAAAGCAGGAACUGCCUGAAACAGAGAGAUCUGUCUGGUUUUGGCGGAGGGUGAUACGGGGAAAGGGUAGAACUGUCUUCUCCCAAUUACUCUGGAAAAAGCCACUUCUGAAGGACCUGGAACAAGAAGAGUUUCCACUGAUGUAAACAAAUUUCCCAGCAGAACUUCAAACAUUCUUUGUCUGUCUCCCUUUGGAGAGUGUUUCCAGGAACCAGCAGCUCUGUGUACCCCAGUCAUUUGCAUUCUGUGCUGCAUGUUCAGCACUUUCUUGCUCACUGGAACAGUUGUUGAUUUUUAAUUGGGAUCUGUUAUUAUUCUGGCCAUUAAACCAGCACGGCAAAAUGGA
This is a long non-coding RNA of Parus major (Great Tit), 460 nucleotides long. RefSeq lists it as uncharacterized. The record is from RefSeq and is a predicted model, not a curated record. The transcript is spliced from 4 exons. NCBI's taxonomy places the organism in Eukaryota, Metazoa, Chordata, Aves, Passeriformes, Paridae.